Molecule: long non-coding RNA, 854 nt
Filed under: Mus musculus (house mouse)
Lineage: Eukaryota; Metazoa; Chordata; Mammalia; Rodentia; Muridae
Description: long non-coding RNA chrX:115808536-115809390
Source: RNAcentral
AUUCUUUGACUUCCCAGAAUUCUUUGGGAGCUGAUACUAGUAUCCUGGGCACUAGUUCUUCAUCCUGUUCAAGCCUAGGCUGAACUUGUAAAAGUUGAUACAGAUGCCAGAGCCUUUAUGCUCACCUUUUAGCUGAUACCAUAGCAAUUACAAUGGAGCAAAAGUUAAAAACAGUGAUGAUUGAACAUAGUUGGGAAAAUCCCAAAAUAUUAAAAAAAAUGGAGUGACUGCUGCAAAGUGAGUAGAUAUAAAGGAUAAAUAUAAAAAUAUCAGGGCAAAGUUUAUCCAAGAUGUGAAUUACACAAAUGAAAAGGCUGGGGAUGGUACCACCACUGCCACCGUUCCAGAUUGCUUGGUUACCAAGAAAGGAUUUGAGAAGACUCUCAAAUUUUCUAAUCGAGUGGAAACCAAGAAAACAGAAGAGAUAUUAUGUUGGCUGUUGAUUUCAUUCUAAACCUAAAGCAACUGCUUAGGUUGUUACAGUUUCUGCCAGUGGAGAAAUAUAAACAAAAAACAAACCAAAACAAACCCAAAUCCAAACCCAAACCAAACAAAACUCUACCAAAGGAAACAUCAUUUCUAGUGCAAGGAAAAUGGCUUGGAGAAUGGACAUCAUCACAGUGAAGGCUGAAAAAAAUCCCUAGCAAUAAAUUAGAAAUUAUUGAUUGCUUGAAGUUGAUAGAGAUUAUGAUGCUGUACUCAAGAGAUUUUGUGAACAUGGUGGAAAAGAGAAUUAUUGAUUGAAGUUUGUAUGAUUCUGCUUUGCUGAAUGUUGCCAUGGGUGACCUCUCUGUUAACUAGCAAAAGCUACAGUAAUAGAAAUCCCUAAAGAACAGAAGGAUGUUGGAAUGAGC